CUCUACUGAAAUUUCAUCUUCCCUCUACUUGAAAAUUUCAUAUUCCCGCUUGUUUACAAUUACAUCCCCAAAACUCCCCCUCCCCAAAUCCAUCUCCUUCCCAACCGCAUAUUUCCCCUCAAGCUUAAUCAAUCGAAGUCGUGGUCUGCCAUCACAACACCACCACUUCUUGGUGGUUAUGGUGUUGGUCAAAAUUUGUAUUAGAAAUAAAUAGAUCUGCAAGCUUACAUACUUGUUACCAGUGGUCAUCGGAACCCUAGCCGCCAAUUCCGUAGGUGGCUGGUAGGUCUUCAAACACCACAACCACCAGAACCCGAGGUCUUACAACAUGCCUUUGUUUCCCAAGCCUUUGGUUCUUACUUCUUCAACGAUUUUAAUAGUUCAAAACUCAAAAUCACAAUCCAAUCACAGGUAUAUAUAUACUUGUAUAUUUUUUACUUUGUUUGUAAUGUCUUAUAUUAAGAGGGCUGGCAUGAAAUAUGGGAACAAACAUUUUGUUAUAGACAAGAGCAGGUGUGAUACCUACAAGGCUAAAAGCAGUUUCAUCCAUUGAAUUAUGCCAACACAAAUUCCCUUCUAACUAACCUUGGUGUGGAAGGCAAGCAGCUAUUAGCGGUAGGUUCAUGCUGUACAUGGUUACUUGAGAAGCCUGGGUUGGUUUGUUGCUAACAUGUGCCUUGCUGAGGGAAAUUGCUUCAAAGAAAAUAAAAAAAAGUUUUACCACAAGGUGUCACAUUUGGUCUUGGUUGGGGAAGAGUAGAGGAAUACUCGGCUGCAGAUAUGGAUGGUAUUUGCGAAGAUUGGUUGACUUAUACGGCUACCUUUGUUAAGUGGACCAUAUUUAGGUGUUGAAGAAUGUAUUGACAAACAAUUUUUUUUUUGUUAACGUUAACAUAUUUGUAAUAUACUUGACAUGUGAUUAUGUAAUUGGUU
Molecule: long non-coding RNA, 933 nt
Filed under: Helianthus annuus (common sunflower)
Lineage: Eukaryota; Viridiplantae; Streptophyta; Magnoliopsida; Asterales; Asteraceae
Source: RNAcentral